This 245-nucleotide long non-coding RNA is filed under the name Brassica napus (rape). RNAcentral describes it as "long non-coding RNA (BNAP_LNC019463)". The record is from RNAcentral. Lineage: Eukaryota; Viridiplantae; Streptophyta; Magnoliopsida; Brassicales; Brassicaceae.
UAUGCACAUGUAAGGCUUUCCGAAAAAGGUCUCACUCAUCAAAUAAUGAAAGCUCAAAAUGAGGGAAAGGUUUUGGGAAUGGUGUACCACUCGAGUUUGUCAAAAAGAUUGGCAUAAAGGAUGUGACAACUCAAGUGUGUAUAUCCAUGAAUCAGUACACAAGGGACCAUAAGCAAGAAGCAUUAAGUUCGUUCAAUUCAAACAAGGUUGUAGUUGGCUUCAAAGGUUGAGUUUCAGCAAUCAAC